CCCAAUUCUAACAGCAUAAGAGAGGUAGUGACAAGAAAUAACAAUACAAGGCAAUUAAAAUGCUUUGUAAUUGGAAUGAUAGAAAUUUAAACACUUUUUAAAGUAUCAAUUGGAGGGCAAGUCUGGUGCCAGCAGCCGCGGUAAUUCCAGCUCCAAUAGCGUAUAUUAAAAUUGUUGCAGUUAAAAAGCUCGUAGUUGAAUUUCUGCUAAGAAUAACCGGUCUGCUUUUAAUAAAAGUGGU
This 241-nucleotide ribosomal RNA is filed under the name Eucoccidiorida sp. RNAcentral's name for it is "partial small subunit ribosomal RNA". It matches the Rfam family "Eukaryotic small subunit ribosomal RNA", at positions 444 to 679 of the family's 1831-position model. Lineage: Eukaryota; Apicomplexa; Conoidasida; Eucoccidiorida. The record is from RNAcentral.